AGUGAACGCUGGCGGUAGGCCUAACACAUGCAAGUCGAACGGCAGCACAGUAAGAGCUUGCUCUUACGGGUGGCGAGUGGCGGACGGGUGAGGAAUACAUCGGAAUCUACUUUUUCGUGGGGGAUAACGUAGGGAAACUUGCGCUAAUACCGCAUACGACCUACGGGUGAAAGCAGGGGAUCUUCGGACCUUGCGCGAUUGAAUGAGCCGAUGUCGGAUUAGCUAGUUGGCGGGGUAAAGGCCCACCAAGGCGACGAUCCGUAGCUGGUCUGAGAGGAUGAUCAGCCACACUGGAACUGAGACACGGUCCAGACUCCUACGGGAGGCAGCAGUGUGGAAUAUUGGACAAUGGGCGCAAGCCUGAUCCAGCCAUACCGCGUGGGUGAAGAAGGCCUUCGGGUUGUAAAGCCCUUUUGUUGGGAAAGAAAAGCAGCAGGUUAAUACCCCGCUGUUCUGACGGUACCCAAAGAAUAAGCACCGGCUAACUUCGUG
This 492-nucleotide ribosomal RNA is filed under the name uncultured bacterium. Its description in RNAcentral is "partial 16S ribosomal RNA". It matches the Rfam family "Bacterial small subunit ribosomal RNA", at positions 29 to 507 of the family's 1533-position model. The record is from RNAcentral.